Molecule: RNA transcript, 2226 nt
Organism: Brassica napus (rape)
Lineage: Eukaryota; Viridiplantae; Streptophyta; Magnoliopsida; Brassicales; Brassicaceae
Gene name: anaphase-promoting complex subunit 2
Exons: 5
Source: RefSeq, a predicted model, not a curated record
CUUAUGAGACACGUGUCUGUCAUUCAUCGCGUCUCUUUCUCUCUCUCUCUCUCGAUGGAAUCAUUAUGUGUAUCUCUUGCUCUCCUCGACAGACCGGAAAAGGAGAGACAGGAAGAAUCAAACCUCUGAAUCUCUCAGAAGACGGAAGAGAACGAUGAAGAAGCAGACGAUUUACUCAUGUGGAGCAACGAUUGUUAUCUUCCUCGUCUGAUGAUCAUCACUCCCAGCAUCCCUCAGUCUCAAGCCUAUCAUGAUUUCGCCGAUCAACGAUCCUUCUUCGGAUUGAUGAACACAAGGGAAAUUACAGAAAGCUAUGAUGGGUUUUUCACCACCGUGGAGUCCCUCAUUGACGGCACCGGAGACUUCUCAGUCGAGAAGGAGUUCAUGUCUCAUGUUUCUACUCUCUGCAACAAGCUUUUGAGAAGAGCGGUGCAUUGAGUUUUUCGCAUCAUUUUGAUGAUUGCAGCGAUAAGAACCAUACUAUAAGAUUACGAAGAAGAGAUUCACCAAGUGUUGUGCAAGGCUUUGGAAGAAAUUUCUAUAGAGAAGCAGUACCAUGACAAGUGUAUGUCCAUGGAAACACUCGCCUUUACGUUGGUCGCUUGUCAUCUAGAACUCGUACCAGAGACCUUGAGCGUCUUUUCAGCAGAUACGGAAGUUGGCCUAUUUGUGAUUGCUUGAUUGCUUUCCACUCCUCUGGAUAUUCUCUUGAGAAAGUUCAAGCAUAUUAUUCAGUUGCGUAAAGGAUAAGUCUUGAGUCUGUUCAUGUUAAAGUAUGCAACUUUGGUUUAAGAUCCUAUAUGGUUUGGGAAUAUAGUAAUCUUUAGUGCAGUGGCUGAUUAUCCUUAGUAAAAUAUAAUGAGUGAUCACAUGAUUUGUACUUGUAUUUGAAUCUAGCAUUGAAGCCUUAAUGAGUGAAUCAGAUGAUUAUCCUUAAUAAAUUUUUUAAGAACCCUUAAUUAAGAGACUAGCACUGAAGCACAAAAACUAUAUGUUUCUUAACUAAAGUUCUUAACUAUUAUUUAUUAUUAAAAAAAUCACUAAGAAACCAUAAUGAGGUUGUAUGGUUAAUCAUGCUUUAAAGCUCUUGUCGCAAUUGUAAAUAUAAUUCAAUAGAAAGGUGAUUUUUACACAGCCUAAAGUGAAUAUUUAUACUAACGAUAGAAGAUCGUAUAUAAUCAAUAUUCUUAUUCUCCUAAGUCCUAAGUACAAGGAUUAAUAAUUAUCCUAAAGAAUAAUAAAAGAAAAUCCAACUAAUAAAUAAAAUAGGAAACACGUAAAACAUUUUUACGAAGUCAUAACCUACGCUGCAUCAUAUAUUAAUUUUCGUACUUGAUAAAUUGUUAGUGUGAUAGAUAUACGAGGAUCCCAGGCAUCACUAAUUUACCAGUUCCUAAAUUUUAUCGAGUUUUCAAGUAUAGAGAAGAGAAGCAUGGGUUGUUCGUUAGUUUAAUGGUAAUUAAUAUUUAGAAACUGAAUUUAGAACUAAUGUGGUUGAUGUUAAUUAUCUUGUUUCAACAUUGGAUUAAGAGAACUGUUUUGGUAGCUUAAACACUAUGUCAUAUGAACUUGAAACAGCACACUAAACUUUCUUGAUUUGAUCUGACCCAAGAUCUUGUCUGUUUUACCGCAACGUAUCCAAAGAUUCCUUAUGGUCUAACUCAUUAAACGACAUCAUCCUAAAAGAAGGGGCCCACAAACAACAUGACCAAAAUCAAGCGGGUGGGAUGAUUAAACGGAUGAUACCAUUCUUGCUGAUUAUUUUGAUCUGACGAAUAGGAAUGUCAAUAGGAUUGGAGAGCAUAGCCACUUCACCAGAGUAGAACCGGCCACCUGAGUCGUGACUAACGGCAGGAGCGUCACCAGUCACCAUCACCAUCCCACUCUUGACGGAGACUGUGAACCUCUCUUUGGGAACGCCUGGCAUGUCUACACGAACGUAGAGGCAUCCGUUUUGGAGCUGCUUCGACUCAUAAGCCAUCAAAGAUCCUUGCUUCACCCAUGGGUGUGGCUGCAGUACCCGACCCGUCAACACCGGAUCUGCUCUUCCACAGAAAACAACAAAUUAAAUAUUAUAUAUUCCCUUUACAACAACCAAUUAAAGUCCACGUAAGCAUGUGGAUACCAUGUGGAUCCGUGCCAUAAGUAACUUUGUGAGAACCAGUCCAAGCGUGAUCUUUGACCACAACUAGAAAUAAAACAAACAAUAUAGAGUUAAUUAGUCAA